Molecule: long non-coding RNA, 2857 nt
Organism: Panicum virgatum (switchgrass)
Lineage: Eukaryota; Viridiplantae; Streptophyta; Magnoliopsida; Poales; Poaceae
Exons: 2
Source: RefSeq, a predicted model, not a curated record
GUUAUUAUGUUGUUGUAUAAAUUUGGUCAAAUUUGAAAAAUGUUGACUCUCCAAGAUUCUUGGAAUGACUUAUAAUUUGGAACGGAGGGAGUAGUAGACUUGUAGAUUUUGAAAUUCUAGGCAACUUUUGUGUUGAUUAUUUUUUGAUUUGAAGACAUCAUCCAAAUUGUAGGUACAACAGAUCGCAUGUAAACGUUUGUGAAAACGAAUUGUGAAAGCGUUUUGAAUUUUAAAAUUUACUCUACAAUAAAGUUGUAGUUUUUGAAUUUUUGAUAAAACUUUUGUUGAGCAACUUUUAAUUCUAACGUGUUUUGGUGUUCAUAUUGUACGUAUAUGUUGCUCGUGUUGAAGUAACGGAUGGAACAAGUUGUGGUUUGAUUUACGUAAAUUCGAGGGUUUUUCUAAAAAAAUUCUAAAAGAGGAUCAGGACGCGCGGGUUGAUUUUAUGAAAACUAUAGGUUUUCUUUGCGAAUUUCCCUGAACCUGGACUAUUGGACCGUGGGUUGAUUUCGAUAAAAAAUUGAUGUCUUUUUCUUAAAAUUUCCUGAGAGAGGAGGCCGGAUCGCGGGUUGAUUUCUCUAAAGUUUGAGGGUUUCUUUGCAAAAUAAACAGGAACUGCACGAUCUAGGCUGUUCGCCUGUCCACCCAGCCAAUCCGACGGUCGGGAAUAGUUCGUGACGUGGCCAGUUUCUCUGGUCUUAUUUUAUUGCGCGAUUCGUAUAUAUAGAUUUUGCUGAGGAAGCAAAGCCCAUAAAUGGUGCUGUGAUCCUCCAUCUCUUAACAGAUUGCAGACUGGUAGUUCUGAAGCAGGCACUAUGUUUUAUUACUUUUUUGCCAGUGACUUUCACUCUCCUGUCCAUUCACUUUGUUUGCUUAUAUUUUCUUUGCGUUAGUUUGUUAUCGUUUGCCUUGAGCCCUUCUUUAUUGCACAGUUUAACUUGUGUAUUUUACUAGCUUGGCUCAGGUGAUACUGGUCUGAUAAUGUAUGUGACACUGUCAUAACCAGCCCAAGGUGGAAAAAUCAAGUUAGUACAAACAAAAGAGUUUGAUGGAACAUGCAAUUAUGUUUCACGCAUUGGUAUGCAAGUAUAACCUCCUUUGCAUCCUAUCAGUUAUGUGCUCUGGUUUCCUCAUGAGUCAAGGUGGGUUUUCGUUCAGCUUCUGCUUGUUUGUGUUUCUGCCUAACAUUUUAGUGUCCAUGUUUUUUUUAAAAAAAUAACAGCUAUUUGCAAGUUCUUAAAUGAUCGGAGGUCAGUGUUCCAGCAAUGCUUAGAUCUGCUUUGAUAUAUAGCCAUAUCAUUCUCUGCUUGUGCCGAUUUAACUCAUCCUUAUAUGAAUCAACAAGCUACUAAAUGCAUCUUUUAUAUGUAUCUUAUGAGACCCUUCAAUGUACUUUAUGUAGUUAAAAAUCAGUACUAAUUUGGAUACACUGAAACCAAAAGGUUGACUACCAAUCUUUAUUACUAGAUUCAGGCAACCUGAUAAAGUCAAUUUUUUUUAGAUCAAACGAUACUGACAUUACUUUUCAUGUGGCUGAUACAAUCAUACAAAUAUUGAUGGCAGUAUCAUUUGCCAAGAGAGUAAUAGUCUGACUGCACACAUUCUAGGACCACGCUACAUAUAUUUAGCUGGAGGUGGUAGAUGAAACUGUUUGAUGUUUGUUAGUUGUUACUGCAUAUGCUUUCUCUUCCUUUGGUUUUGUUGCUGUCUACUUUUGUAACGGUUGGGAGUUAGUGGGUUCUCUUAGCCUUACAUCAUUGCUUGUAUGCUGAUCUAGACACAAGGCUUGCCUCCUUGCAAGCUGCAAUUACUUUAAUUUGUUCUUAGCUCCCUUCUUUGCUUCUUUGUCUGAAUGCUGCUGUAUCAAACUCGUAUGCAUGGUGAUCCCUGGCUUGAAAAAUGAAACUGCUUGUUUUAUUGGGAUGAGUAACUAUGUAGUCAAAAGAGCUUCUUAGUCAAUAGAUGUAUCCCCCCCUCCCCCCCCAGUUGGAUAUCACACUAAAUAUUGUGGGAAAGGUUUAACUUCAGAGCAGGGGGUUAUGUUCUGCGUGCGCACCUGUACAACUUGUUUAGUUAGCCAUAGAUCAAUUUUCAUGCUUACAUCGUAUAACGUCACUUCCUUGCGCGAUGUAAUGCAUAAAUGAAUGAAGAGGGAUGCAAGUGGGCUAGCGCGCGAACAAACAUAUAGGCUUAACCAAGGUUUCUGGUGCGCUAAAACAUGAAUUGUUGUCUUCUUCAACUUAGUGCAAAUCAAGAUGUGUUAAAUUAAAAACUGCACAAACAGGUUAUGCAGGCUAUAGCGGUAUUUUUAGAAGCUUAUUUUUAGAAGCUAUCGCUAAAUCUAAUAGUCUGCUAUUUAAAACACUGGCCUAUAAUACUGAUUAUUGCUGCUUGUAUGAGAAGUAGCUCCUAUAACUUUACUUUUGUUAUACCAUUUUGAUGUAUUGCGGAAAUUCCUAAUUUUACACGUUCGGCCUGUCACAAAAUUUGAAUUAGUGUUUGAUGGUAUACCAUCAACAAUGCCUAAACCUGCCAUGUGAGAUUUUCUCAACUAAAGAAUGUACUCAACAGCUGCAGGUACAGAGACUGGAUGCAUCUCCCAAGUCGGCUGCUUGCUCAAUUACGAGCUCAGCACAGGAUUGCGAGUAGAAUGGCAUCAUAUAUGUAAAUAUUCUCUCUUCCCAGGGCACUGGUUUCUUGUUAAGAACCUGUUCCGAGCACUACAGUUUUCUGAGUUUUCUGCUGGAAUAAGAGUUUUCAACGGUGUAUGUCGCCAAUUAUUUUACUGUAUCGUAUUCUUUGCUGGCACUGGUUUCUUCAAGAACAUGAUCCGAGCAGAGAUUCAGAGUGUACGCAA